AGAGUUUGAUCCUGGCUCAGGACGAACGCUGGCGGCGUGCUUAACACAUGCAAGUCGAACGGUGAUCUCCGCUUGCGGGGUGAUCAGUGGCGAACGGGUGAGUAACACGUGAGUAAUCUGCCCUUCACUUCGGGAUAACCGCCGGAAACGGCGGCUAAUACCGAAUACGACCAUCCCUCGCAUGAGGUGCUGGUGGAAAGUUUUGUCGGUGGAGGAUGUGCUCGCGGCCUAUCAGCUUGUUGGUGGGGUAAUGGCCUACCAAGGCUUCGACGGGUAGCCGGCCUGAGAGGGUGACCGGCCACACUGGGACUGAGACACGGCCCAGACUCCUACGGGAGGCAGCAGUGGGGAAUAUUGGACAAUGGGCGAAAGCCUGAUCCAGCAACGCCGCGUGAGGGAUGACGGCCUUCGGGUUGUAAACCUCUUUCAGUACCGACGAAGCGCCUCUAGAGGUGGUGACGGUAGGUACAGAAGAAGGACCGGCCAACUACGUGCCAGCAGCCGCGGUAAUACGUAGGGUCCGAGCGUUGUCCGGAAUUAUUGGGCGUAAAGGGCUCGUAGGCGGUCUGUUGCGUCGGGAGUGAAAUCUUACAGCUUAACUGUGAACUUGCUUUCGAUACGGGCAGACUUGAGGCAUUCAGGGGAGAACGGAAUUCCUGGUGUAGCGGUGAAAUGCGCAGAUAUCAGGAGGAACACCGGUGGCGAAGGCGGUUCUCUGGGAAUGUCCUGACGCUGAGGAGCGAAAGUGUGGGGAGCGAACAGGAUUAGAUACCCCGGUAGUCC
This 783-nucleotide ribosomal RNA is filed under the name uncultured Nocardiopsis sp. Its description in RNAcentral is "bacterial SSU rRNA". It matches the Rfam family "Bacterial small subunit ribosomal RNA", at positions 8 to 796 of the family's 1533-position model. The record is from RNAcentral. Lineage: Bacteria; Bacillati; Actinomycetota; Actinomycetes; Streptosporangiales; Nocardiopsidaceae.